This 274-nucleotide ribosomal RNA is filed under the name uncultured bacterium. Its description in RNAcentral is "partial 16S ribosomal RNA". It matches the Rfam family "Bacterial small subunit ribosomal RNA", at positions 523 to 796 of the family's 1533-position model. The record is from RNAcentral.
AUACGGAGGGUGCGAGCGUUAAUCGGAAUUACUGGGCGUAAAGCGCGCGUAGGCGGCUAAUUAAGUCAAAUGUGAAAUCCCCGAGCUUAACUUGGGAAUUGCAUUCGAUACUGGUUAGCUAGAGUGUGGGAGAGGAUGGUAGAAUUCCAGGUGUAGCGGUGAAAUGCGUAGAGAUCUGGAGGAAUACCGAUGGCGAAGGCAGCCAUCUGGCCUAACACUGACGCUGAGGUGCGAAAGCAUGGGGAGCAAACAGGAUUAGAAACCCCAGUAGUCC